This 446-nucleotide ribosomal RNA is filed under the name Salinivibrio sp. KP-1. RNAcentral's name for it is "bacterial SSU rRNA". It matches the Rfam family "Bacterial small subunit ribosomal RNA", at positions 1090 to 1533 of the family's 1533-position model. The record is from RNAcentral. Lineage: Bacteria; Pseudomonadati; Pseudomonadota; Gammaproteobacteria; Vibrionales; Vibrionaceae.
CAACGAGCGCAACCCUUAUCCUUGUUUGCCAGCACGUAAUGGUGGGAACUCCAGGGAGACUGCCGGUGAUAAACCGGAGGAAGGUGGGGACGACGUCAAGUCAUCAUGGCCCUUACGAGUAGGGCUACACACGUGCUACAAUGGCAGAUACAGAGGGCAGCGAAGCUGCGAAGUGGAGCGAAUCCCUUAAAGUUUGUCGUAGUCCGGAUUGGAGUCUGCAACUCGACUCCAUGAAGUCGGAAUCGCUAGUAAUCGUGGAUCAGAAUGCCACGGUGAAUACGUUCCCGGGCCUUGUACACACCGCCCGUCACACCAUGGGAGUGGGCUGCACCAGAAGUAGAUAGCUUAACCUUCGGGAGGGCGUUUACCACGGUGUGGUUCAUGACUGGGGUGAAGUCGUAACAAGGUAGCCCUAGGGGAACCUGGGGCUGGAUCACCUCCUUACU